RNAcentral lists this ribosomal RNA (497 nucleotides) under uncultured bacterium. RNAcentral describes it as "partial 16S ribosomal RNA". It matches the Rfam family "Bacterial small subunit ribosomal RNA", at positions 28 to 507 of the family's 1533-position model. The record is from RNAcentral.
GAUGAACGCUGGCGGCGUGCCUAAUACAUGCAAGUCGAGCGAACGGACGAGAAGCUUGCUUCUCUGAUGUUAGCGGCGGACGGGUGAGUAACACGUGGAUAACCUACCUAUAAGACUGGGAUAACUUCGGGAAACCGUAGCUAAUACCGGAUAAUAUUUUGAACCGCAUGGUUCAAAAGUGAAAGACGGUCUUGCUGUCACUUAUAGAUGGAUCCGCGCUGCAUUAGCUAGUUGGUAAGGUAACGGCUUACCAAGGCAACGAUGCAUAGCCGACCUGAGAGGGUGAUCGACCACACUGGAACUGAGACACGGUCCAGACUCCUACGGGAGGCAGCAGUAGGGAAUCUUCCGCAAUGGGCGAAAGCCUGACGGAGCAACGCCGCGUGAGUGAUGAAGGUCUUCGGAUCGUAAAACUCUGUUAUUAGGGAAGAACAUAUGUGUAAGUAACUGUGCACAUCUUGACGGUACCUAAUCAGAAAGCCACGGCUAACUACGUG